UCGUGGAGCGAUUUGUCUGGUUUAUUCCGAUAACGAGCGAGACUCUAGCCUACUAACUAGUUCACACAUUGCUACUGUGUUGUGCGACUUCUUAGAGGGAUUUUCGGUGUACAGCCGCACGAAAUUGAGCAAUAACA
This 137-nucleotide ribosomal RNA is filed under the name uncultured eukaryote. Its description in RNAcentral is "partial 18S ribosomal RNA". It matches the Rfam family "Eukaryotic small subunit ribosomal RNA", at positions 1299 to 1458 of the family's 1831-position model. The record is from RNAcentral.